RNAcentral lists this ribosomal RNA (1911 nucleotides) under freshwater metagenome. RNAcentral's name for it is "bacterial LSU rRNA". It matches the Rfam family "Bacterial large subunit ribosomal RNA", at positions 1 to 2028 of the family's 2925-position model. The record is from RNAcentral.
UCAAGCGUGAGGUAAGAGCAUUUGGUGGAUGCCUUGGCAUGUACAGGCGAUGAAGGACGUGGCACGCUGCGAUAAGCGUCGGGGAGUUGUGAGCAAACUUUGAUCCGGCGAUUUCCGAAUGGGGAAACCCACCUUCACCAUUUCAUUCUGGGUCCGUUUCGGCGGGUUCUGAGUGAGGUGGAUAAGGUAUCCCAAGUUGAAUAAAAUAGACUUGGUGAAGCGAACCCGGGGAACUGAAACAUCUCAGUACCUGGAGGAAAAGACAUCAACCGAGAUUCCGUUAGUAGUGGCGAGCGAACGCGGACCAGGCCAGUGCCUCAUCUUCAACUAGCAGAACACUUUGGAAAGAGUGGCCAUAGCGGGUGACAGCCCCGUAUGCGAAAGUGAUGGAUGAGGACUCGAGUAGGGCGGGACACGUGAAAUCCUGUCUGAACAUGGGGGGACCACCCUCCAAGCCUAAAUACUCGUACAUGACCGAUAGCGAACACAGUACCGUGAGGGAAAGGUGAAAAGCACCCCGAUGAGGGGAGUGAAACAGUACCUGAAACCGAAUGCUUACAAGCAGUUGGAGCCUCUUUAGGGGGUGACAGCGUACCUCUUGCAUAAUGGGUCAGUGACUUAGUUUAUCGAGCAAGCUUAAGCCGUUAGGUGUAGGCGCAGCGAAAGCGAGUCUGAAUAGGGCGACAGAGUUCGAUGAAUUAGACCCGAAACCCGGUGAUCUAGGCAUGACCAGGUUGAAGGUGCGGUAACACGCACUGGAGGACCGAACCGUUGAAUGUUGAAAAAUUCUCGGAUGAGUUGUGUUUAGGGGUGAAAGGCCAAUCAAACCGGGAAAUAGCUGGUUCUCCGCGAAAUCUAUUGAGGUAGAGCGUCGAAUAUUUGCCGUUGGGGGUAGAGCACUGGAUGGGUGCGGGGGUCGCGAGAUCUACCAAUCCUAACCAAACUCCGAAUACCAACGAGUCUAGUUCGGCAGACAGACGGCGGGUGCUAAGGUCCGUCGUCAAAAGGGAAACAGCCCUAACCUACAGCUAAGGUCCCCAAGUCAUCACUAAGUGGGAAAGCAUGUGGGAUUUCCAAAACAACCAGGAGGUUGGCUUAGAAGCAGCCAUCCUUUAAAGAAAGCGUAACAGCUCACUGGUCUAAAUAAGAGAUCCUGCGGCGAAAAUGUAACGGGGCUAAAGUGAUGCACCGAAGCUUAGGGUGUGUAGCAAUACACGCGGUAGCGGAGCGUUCCGUAAGCCUGCGAAGCCAUCUGGUAAUGGGUGGUGGAGGUAUCGGAAGUGCGAAUGCAGACAUGAGUAGCGAUAAAGAGGGUGAGAUGCCCUCUCGCCGAAAGACCAAGGGUUCCUGCUUAAAGCUAAUCUGAGCAGGGUAAGCCGGCCCCUAAGACGAGCCCGAAGGGGGUAGUCGAUGGGAACCACGUUAAUAUUCGUGGGCCUGGUGGUGUGUGACGGAUCUCGUGUAUUGUCUGACCUUAUCGGAUUGGUCAGGCUUUGAAGAGGUUCCAGGAAAUAGCCCCACCGUAUAGACCGUACCCGAAACCGACACAGGUGGUCAGGUAGAGUAUACCAAGGCGCUUGAGAGAAGUAUCCUGAAGGAACUCGGCAAAUUGCCUCCGUACCUUCGGAAGAAGGAGGCCCCAUCUUAAGGCAACUUUUGGUGGGGGGCACAGGCCAGGGGGUAGCGACUGUUUAUCAAAAACACAGGACUCUGCUAAGUCGGCUUCAAGACGACGUAUAGGGUCUGACGCCUGCCCGGUGCUCGAAGGUUAAGAGGAGGAGUGCAAGCUCUUGAUCGAAGCCCCGGUAAACGGCGGCCGUAACUAUAACGGUCCUAAGGUAGCGAAAUUCCUUGUCGGGUAAGUUCCGACCUGCACGAAUGGUGUAAUGAUGGCCAGGCUGUCUCCACCAG